Molecule: ribosomal RNA, 455 nt
Filed under: uncultured bacterium
Lineage: Bacteria
Description: bacterial SSU rRNA
Rfam family: Bacterial small subunit ribosomal RNA
Source: RNAcentral
UACGGGAGGCAGCAGUGGGGAAUAUUGCACAAUGGGCGAAAGCCUGAUGCAGCUAUGCCGCGUGUAUGAAGAAGGCCUUAGGGUUGUAAAGUACUUUCAUCGGGGAGGAAAAAACAAAACUAAUAAUUUUAUUUCUUGACGUUACCCGAAAAAGAAGCACCGGCUAACUCCGUGCCAGCAGCCGCGAUAAUACGGAGGGUGCUAGCGUUAAUCAGAAUUACUGGGCGUAAAGAGCACGUAGGUGGUUUUUUAAGUCAGAUGUGAAAUCCCUGGGCUUAACCUAGGAACUGCAUUUUGAAACUGAAAUACUAGAGUAUCGUAGAGGGAGGUAGAAUUCUAGGUGUAGCGGUGAAAUGCGUAGAUAUCUGGAGGAAUACCUGUGGCGAAAGCGGCCUCCUAAACGAAUACUGACACUGAGGUGCGAAAGCGUGGGGAGCAAACAGGGAUUAGAUACC